GGUUGUGAUAGAGGAGGUAGGGUGUGGUUGUGAUAGAGGAGGUAGGUGAUAGAGGAGGUAGUGUGUGGUUGUGAUAGAGGAGGUAGGGUGUGGUUGUGAUAGAGGAGGUAAUGUGUGGUUGUGAUAGAGGAGGUAGUGUGUGGUUGUGAUAGAGGAGGUAGGUGAUAGAGGAUAUAGUGUGUGAUUGUGAUAGAGGAGAUAGUGUGUGGUUGUGAUAGAAGAGGUAGGGUGUGGUUGUGAUAGAGGAAGUAGGGUGUGGUUGUGAUAGAGGAGGUAGGGUGUGGUUGUGAUAGAGGAGGUAGGGUGUGGUUGUGAUAGAGGAGGUAGGGUGUGGUUGUGAUAGAGGAGGUAGUGUGUGAUUGUGAUAGAGGAAGUAGGGUGUGGUUGUGAUAGAGGAGGUAGGGUGUGGUUGUGAUAGAGGAGGUAGGGUGUGGUUGUGAUAGAGGAGGUAGUGUGUGGUUGUGAUAGAGGAAGUAGUGGUGUGUGUUCCUGUGGUUCUGCUGAUGGGUCUGGUCAGGCAUAAGAUCACAUUGGUUCCUCUGUCCGAACCACAAAGCGGAUUCUAGAGAUAGCAGACAUCAGUCAAUGUGUCACAAGUGGCACCAUAUUCCCUAUGUGGAGCACAUUGUUUGAACAGAGUCCUAUGGCCCUGCGAUAGACUGGCGCCUUGUCCUGGUUUGUUCCUGUACAUCGAGCUGCCUAACGCUAGAGACAGCAGAUAGACUCCU
This 728-nucleotide long non-coding RNA is filed under the name Salmo salar (Atlantic salmon). RNAcentral describes it as "lncRNA (ENSSSAG00000101959.1, ENSSSAG00020008441.1, ENSSSAG00075005100.1)". Lineage: Eukaryota; Metazoa; Chordata; Actinopteri; Salmoniformes; Salmonidae. The record is from RNAcentral.